Molecule: ribosomal RNA, 774 nt
Filed under: uncultured Neocallimastigales
Lineage: Eukaryota; Fungi; Neocallimastigomycota; Neocallimastigomycetes; Neocallimastigales
Description: partial large subunit ribosomal RNA
Rfam family: Eukaryotic large subunit ribosomal RNA
Source: RNAcentral
UACUAGAGUAGCACUCGCAUAUCAAUAAGCGGAGGAAAAGAAACUAACAAGGAUUCCCCUAGUAACGGCGAGUGAAGCGGGAAGAGCUCAAAUUUGAAAUCUUAAAGGGUUUCCCUUUACGAAUUGUAGUUUAAAGAAGUGUUUUCUGUUGAGGUUUUGGUAAAAGUUCUUUGGAAUAGGACAUCAUAGAGGGUGAGAAUCCCGUAUUUGACCUUUACUUUCAACUUUGUGAUACACUUUCAAAGAGUCGGAUUGUUUGGGAAUGCAGUCCAAAAUGGGUGGUAAAUUUCAUCUAAAGCUAAAUAUUGGCGAGAGACCGAUAGCGAACAAGUACCGCGAGGGAAAGAUGAAAAGAACUUUGAAAAGAGAGUUAAACAGUACGUGAAAUUGUCAAAAGGGAAGCGUUUGACACCAGUGUUGUUUUUCUGAAAAUCAAUUAAAGAACUGUUUAUGCCAAGCUGUUUAGACUUUAUCAGCUAUCUGUUUAGUUUUGAGCUUUUCUUUAAUGCACUUUUCAGUUAACAAGUCAACAUCAAUUUCUCUUGCUGUAAAAAAGCUUGAGGAAGGUGGCUUGAGAUUCGUCUUAAGUGUUUAUAGCCUCUUGCCUAUGCAGUCGGAGAGAUUGAGGUCUGCAGCGUAGAUCCUUCGGGGCUAAAUGCAUUUGUGCUAAGUUAUAGCAUUUUAUAGACAACUUGUUGACUAUGAUUUGUCUUGUAGCUUACUCGCUUAUGUUAUUUUACCUACGCUUAGGAUGUUGAGCGCAUGUCUCUCUCU